Lactuca sativa (garden lettuce) is the source of this 483-nucleotide non-coding RNA. The record is from RefSeq and is a predicted model, not a curated record. NCBI's taxonomy places the organism in Eukaryota, Viridiplantae, Streptophyta, Magnoliopsida, Asterales, Asteraceae.
ACCAAACCUUUUAACUUUUUUUUUUCUGAUUAAUUUCCUUUUAUUUUUAUAGAUCGGUCCCUGCUACGUGUCACCCUUCCCCAACAGAUGAAAUCUUCCGCCGCUUCACAUCUGCUUGCCACGAAUCUCUUUCCACCGUCUGUGCAAUUUAGUUGGCCCCUUUUCUACUUCUAUUUUGUUCUGGAUCCCUUCACCGCCAUUCUUCCGAUCUAACCCAUCUCGCUGCUCACUCUAUACACUGCACCUUCUCUCCACCGUUUCUCGACCUUGCUGUUCCGGUGAAGCAACUACUGAUGACGAUCGAUUCACUGUCUUCACAAAAUCGACUAGAAAAUCGAUCCCAAAGUUCCUCUUCACAAAACCGACCAGAAAAUCGAUCCCAAAGUUCCUCAAUCAAGCGAGCGUCGGAAGAAGACCGACUCAAAGAUUUCCCUCACUGACCCCUUUGCUUCAAUCACCGAAUUCCAGGUUCCAAAGAUUUUG